Molecule: ribosomal RNA, 391 nt
Filed under: Syndiniales sp.
Lineage: Eukaryota; Dinophyceae; Syndiniales
Description: partial small subunit ribosomal RNA
Rfam family: Eukaryotic small subunit ribosomal RNA
Source: RNAcentral
AUUCCAGCUCCAAUAGCGUAUAUUAAAGUUGUUGCGGUUAAAAAGCUCGUAGUUGGAUUUCUGUUGAGAACGGCUCGUCCUCGCUAUGCGUGUGUAUGUGGUUCGAUCUCGGUAUCCUCCAGGGGUACGUUCUUGCGCUUAGUUGCGUGGGGCGGAAUUCUGGACUUUUACUUUGAGGAAAUUAGAGUGUUCACGGCAGGCAAUCGCGUUGAAUAUAUAUUAGCAUGGAAUAAUAAUAUAGGACCUUGAUUCUAUUUUGUUGGUUUCUAGAAUUUAGGUAAUGAUUAAUAGGGACAAUUGGGGGCAUUUGUAUUAACACGUCAGAGGUGGAAUUCUUGGAUUGCGUUACGACAAACUACUGCGAAAGCAUUUGCCAAGGACGUUUUCAUCA